GACGAACGCUGGCGGCGUGCCUAAUACAUGCAAGUAGAACGCUGAAGAGAGGAGCUUGCUCUUCUUGGAUGAGUUGCGAACGGGUGAGUAACGCGUAGGUAACCUGCCUUGUAGCGGGGGAUAACUAUUGGAAACGAUAGCUAAUACCGCAUAACAAUGGAUGACACAUGUCAUUUAUUUGAAAGGGGCAAUUUCUCCACUACAAGAUGGACCUUCGUUGUUUUAGCUAGUAGGUGAGGUAAUGGCUCACCUAGGCGACGAUACAUAGCCGACCUGAGAGGGUGAUCGGCCACACUGGGAAUGAGACAAGGGCCAGACUGCUACGGGAGGCAGCAGUAGGGAAUCUUCGGCAAUGGGGGCAACGCUGACCGAGCAACGCCGCGUGAGUGAAGAAGGGUUUCGGAUCGUAAAGCUCUGUUGUAAGUCAAGAACGGGUGUGAGAGUGGAAAGUUCACACUGUGACGGUAGCUGACCAGAAAGGGACGGCUAACUACGUG
RNAcentral lists this ribosomal RNA (497 nucleotides) under uncultured bacterium. Its description in RNAcentral is "partial 16S ribosomal RNA". It matches the Rfam family "Bacterial small subunit ribosomal RNA", at positions 28 to 507 of the family's 1533-position model. The record is from RNAcentral.